This 949-nucleotide long non-coding RNA is filed under the name Medicago truncatula (barrel medic). Its description in RNAcentral is "long non-coding RNA (MTRU_LNC006373)". The record is from RNAcentral. Lineage: Eukaryota; Viridiplantae; Streptophyta; Magnoliopsida; Fabales; Fabaceae.
UUGCUCCUCUUCCCUUCGUUCCGUUGAAUGUUGUUCUGGUUCUUUCUGAUUUUCCUCAACUUCAGUAACCACAGGUUCACCUUUUACUGUUUCUGUAGGCUCAACUUCAGUAGCCACAGGUUCUUCUUUUACCGUUUCUGUAGCUUGAACUUCAGUAGCCACAGGUUCUUCUUUUACCAUUUCUCUAGGAUCAACUUCAGUAACCACAGGUUUGACUUUUACUGAUUCUGUCAGAUCAACUUCAGUAACCAGGGGUUCUUUUACUGUUUUUGUAAUUUCAACUUCUGUAGCCACAGCUUCUUCUUUUACUGUCUCUGUAGGAUCAACUUCAGUAACUAUAGGUUCGUCUUUUACCGUUUCUGUUGCCUCGAAUUCAGUAGCUGCAGGUUCAUCUUUUACCAUUUCUGUAGGCUCAACUACAGUUGUCACAGGUUCUUCUUUUACGGUUUCUGUAGCUUCAACUUCAGUAGCCACAGAUUCUUCUUUUACUGUUUCUGUAGCUUCAACUUCAGUAGCCACUGGUUCUUCUUUUACUGUUUCUGUAGCUUCAACUUCAGUAGCCACUGGUUCUUCUUUUACUGUUUCUGUAGCUUCAACUUCAGUAGCUGCAGGUUCGUCUUUUACCGUUUCUGUAGCCUCAACUUCAGUUGCCACAGGUUCUUCUUUUACCGUUUCUGUAGGCUCAACUUCAGUAGCCACGGGUUCUUCUUUUACUGUUUCUGUAGCUUCAGCUUCAGUAGCUAGAGGUUCUUCUUUUACCGUUUCUGUAGGAUCAACUUCAGUAACCACAGGUUCGUCUUUUACGGUUUCUGUAACCUUAACUUCAGUAGCUGCAGGUUCUUCUUUUACUGUUUCCGUAGCCUCAACUUCAGUAGCCACAAGUUCUUCUUUUAGUGUUUCUGUAGCCUCAACUUCAGUAACCACGGGUUCUUCUUUUACUAUCUCUGCA